UUCUGCUCUGCUAGGCAGAACUUGCCACAGGGAUUCAGUUAUUCCCUUCCAUAUGCAAGAAUGUGACAAGAUAAAAAGGCAUGUUUCUUCCCUCACUUUCAUCCUGAAAUGCUCCCUGACAGGAAGGGCUAAUGAGGACAACACAUCUGCCCCUGUUGAGGCUUCCAUUCUCUCCAAUUUGAGAAUUGCCCUCGGCCCAGGAGACAUCUGGGCUGUGCACGAUGCAGCAGCAGAUAGCAGUGCUCACACCCAGAUAUUCAGGAGGUGGUUUUGGCCAAGGGAAUCCAUCAGUUAUGAACAAGCUCAGCCCUUGGAAGAGGAUCUCUAUCAGUUCCUGUUUGCAUGCUACAGGAUGCUUUCUGGAUGACUCUGUAGCAUUUGCACUUGGCCUGGUGAGCUGAUCUUUCUCAAUUUACUGUAUUUAUUUAUUCCCUGCUUUUAUCACUGAUCUUGAUGUGAGAUGGAGCCAACCCCCACAAGCAGAGAGAGGAGAGUACACAGCAACAGCUGAAGGUGCAAGGUGUGCUUGGGUGACCCAAGGACAGGAAGGUGGGACCUGUGCCCCAGACAAGCUGCAACUCACACCUGAACUCUCCAUGGAAAACUCCAGCCCUUCUCCUGUCUGACUCCCUCUGGUCUAUAAGGGAAGUUGGACACUGGGUUCCAGCUCUAUCAGCAAUGGAAAAAGCAAAAUAAUAACUUCACAUGACCUAGUUCUGGCUUUUCUGUUCUUACCAGCUGCAUGAUAGCCACCAUUCGGCACUACAGACUUUUAGUUUCCUUUAAUAAAGUCAUUUGCACUUU
Long non-coding RNA from Parus major (Great Tit), 804 nucleotides. RefSeq lists it as uncharacterized. The record is from RefSeq and is a predicted model, not a curated record. NCBI's taxonomy places the organism in Eukaryota, Metazoa, Chordata, Aves, Passeriformes, Paridae. The transcript is spliced from 2 exons.